CGCCUCUCAGGGUCACACCUGGAGAGUUUUCAGUACUCUACCAGUCUCGGCUGUGGGAGGGAAAGUCAAGCAGAGUCAGACCCAUUCCAUUCCUAACUUGGGCAGUGGCUAGCAAGUGGAAGGCAAUAUGCUACAAGU
Molecule: small nucleolar RNA, 138 nt
Filed under: Ornithorhynchus anatinus (platypus)
Lineage: Eukaryota; Metazoa; Chordata; Mammalia; Monotremata; Ornithorhynchidae
Source: RNAcentral